Molecule: transfer RNA, 78 nt
Filed under: Vibrio cholerae
Lineage: Bacteria; Pseudomonadati; Pseudomonadota; Gammaproteobacteria; Vibrionales; Vibrionaceae
Description: tRNA-Gly
Rfam family: tRNA
About the family: Transfer RNA (tRNA) molecules are approximately 80 nucleotides in length. Their secondary structure includes four short double-helical elements and three loops (D, anti-codon, and T loops).
Source: RNAcentral
GCGCCACUCUUGUUCAGUUGGUAGAGCGCAACCUUGCCAAGGUUGAGGUCACGAGUUCGAACCUCGUGUGUCGCUCCA